This 405-nucleotide ribosomal RNA is filed under the name uncultured bacterium. Its description in RNAcentral is "bacterial SSU rRNA". It matches the Rfam family "Bacterial small subunit ribosomal RNA", at positions 917 to 1322 of the family's 1533-position model. The record is from RNAcentral.
GGGCCCGCACAAGCGGUGGAGCAUGUGGUUUAAUUCGAUGCAACGCGAAGAACCUUACCAAGCCUUGACAUCCUCGGAACUUUCCAGAAAUGGAUUGGUGCUCGAAAGAGAACCUGCACACAGGUGCUGCAUGGCUGUCGUCAGCUCGUGUCGUGAGAUGUUGGGUUAAGUCCCGCAACGAGCGCAACCCUUGUCAUUAGUUGCUACAUUUAGUUGAGCACUCUAAUGAGACUGCCGGUGACAAACCGGAGGAAGGUGGGGAUGACGUCAAGUCCUCAUGGCCCUUAUGGGUAGGGCUUCACACGUCAUACAAUGGUCGGUACAGAGGGUUGCCAAGCCGCGAGGUGGAGCCAAUCCCGGAAAACCGAUCGUAGUCCGGAUCGUAGUCUGCAACUCGACUACGUG